RNAcentral lists this long non-coding RNA (251 nucleotides) under Setaria viridis. RNAcentral's name for it is "long non-coding RNA (SVIR_LNC006897)". The record is from RNAcentral. Lineage: Eukaryota; Viridiplantae; Streptophyta; Magnoliopsida; Poales; Poaceae.
CGGAGAUGAGUUUGGUUAAGGAUAUGACUUGGAUUGAAAGUAAGCCUCCGCUUGUGUCGAUUAAGGUCCAAACCAUUGUUGGCUAUGCUGAUCAAGUUUGAAUAGUACUAAUCACAUGCUAGGAGUAGAAGGUAGUCGAAACUGGUAAACCUACGUACCUUAGUGCGCGCUGGUAGUUUGAGCUUGAUACCAUCUUCCUAUUCGGGUGCUAGUCAGUAAUUCAUGUCUGACCCGUUGGGGUAUUGGUGCAG